ACGCUAGCUACAGGCUUAACACAUGCAAGUCGAGGGGAAACGGCAUUUAGUGCUUGCACCGAAUGGACGUCGACCGGCGCACGGGUGAGUAACGCGUAUCCAACCUACCCAUUACUGUGGGAUAACCUGCCGAAAGGCAGACUAAUACCGCAUAGUCUUCGAUGACGGCAUCAGAUUUGAAGUAAAGAUUUAUCGGUAAUGGAUGGGGAUGCGUCUGAUUAGCUUGUUGGCGGGGUAACGGCCCACCAAGGCAACGAUCAGUAGGGGUUCUGAGAGGAAGGUCCCCCACAUUGGAACUGAGACACGGUCCAAACUCCUACGGGAGGCAGCAGUGAGGAAUAUUGGUCAAUGGGCGCGAGCCUGAACCAGCCAAGUAGCGUGCAGGAUGACGGCCCUAUGGGUUGUAAACUGCUUUUGUAUGGGGAUAAAGUCAAUCACGUGUGAUUGUUUGCAGGUACCAUACGAAUAAGGACCGGCUAAUUCCGUGCCAGCAGCCGCGGUAAUACGGAAGGUCCGGGCGUUAUCCGGAUUUAUUGGGUUUAAAGGGAGCGUAGGCCGGAGAUUAAGUGUGUUGUGAAAUGUAGACGCUCAACGUCUGACUUGCAGCGCAUACUGGUUUCCUUGAGUACGCACAACGUUGGCGGAAUUCGUCGUGUAGCGGUGAAAUGCUUAGAUAUGACGAAGAACUCCGAUUGCGAAGGCAGCUGACGGGAGCGCAACUGACGCUGAAGCUCGAAGGUGCGGGUAUCGAACAGGAUUAGAUACCCUGGUAGUCCGCACAGUAAACGAUGGAUGCCCGCUGUUGGUACCUGGUAUCAGCGGCUAAGCGAAAGCAUUAAGCAUCCCACCUGGGGAGUACGCCGGCAACGGUGAAACUCAAAGGAAUUGACGGGGGCCCGCACAAGCGGAG
Molecule: ribosomal RNA, 910 nt
Filed under: uncultured bacterium
Lineage: Bacteria
Description: bacterial SSU rRNA
Rfam family: Bacterial small subunit ribosomal RNA
Source: RNAcentral